This 391-nucleotide unclassified non-coding RNA is filed under the name soil metagenome. RNAcentral's name for it is "partial contains 5.8S ribosomal RNA, internal transcribed spacer 2, and large subunit ribosomal RNA". The stretch from base 1 to 122 matches the Rfam family "5.8S ribosomal RNA", at positions 35 to 154 of the family's 154-position model. The record is from RNAcentral.
GAUGAAGAACGUAGCGAAAUGCGAUACUUGGUGUGAAUUGCAGAAUCCCGUGAACCAUCGAGUCUUUGAACGCAAGUUGCGCCCGAAGCCAUUAGGCCGAGGGCACGCCUGCCUGGGCGUCACACGUCGUUGCCCCCCCAUCUACUCCUUCGGGAUUGCGGGGGGCGGAUGAUGGCCUCCCGUGCGCCUCGUCGCGCGGUUGGCCUAAAUGCCAAGUCCGCGGCGACGCACGCCACGACAAUCGGUGGUUGCGAAACCUCGGUUGCCUGUCGUGUGCGGUCGUCGCGCAUCGAGGGCUCGAAAAAAUUGCCGGGCUUCGGCUCGACUUUCAACGCGACCCCAGGUCAGGCGGGGUUACCCGCUGAAUUUAAGCAUAUCAAUAAGCGGAGGA